CAAUAGCGUAUAUUAAAGUUGUUGCCGUUAAAAAGCUCGUAGUCGAACUUCGGCCUCUGCCGCCCGGUCCGCCUAUUUGGGUGUGUACUGGAGCGGUGGAGGCUUACCUCGUGGUGAGCGGCGAUGUCCUUUACUGGGCGUCGUCGGGAACCAUGACUUUUACUUUGAAAAAAUUAGAGUGUUCAAAGCAGGCUUACGCCCGAAUACAUUAGCAUGGAAUAAUAAAAUAGGACGUGCGGUCCUAUUUUGUUGGUUUCUAGGAUCGCCGUAAUGAUUAAUAGGGAUAGUUGGGGGCAUUCGUAUUCAAUUGCUAGAGGUGAAAUUCUUGGAUUUAUUGAAGACGAACUACUGCGAAAGCAUUUGCCAAGGAUGUUUUCAUUGAUCAAGAACGAAGGUUAGGGGAUCGAAAACGAUCAGAUACCGUUGUAGUCUUAACAGUAAACGAUGCCGACUAGGGAUCGGACGAGGAUUUUUAAUGACUCGUUCGGCACCUGAAGAGAAAUCUUUAAGUCUAGGUUCGGGGGGGAGUAUGGUCGCAAGGCUGAAACUUAAAGGAAUUGACGGAAGGGCACCACCAUGGUGUGGAGCCUGCGGCUUAAUUUGACUCAACACGGGGAAACUCACCAGGUCCAGACACGACAAGGAUUGACAGAUUGAUAGCUCUUUCUUGAUUUCGUGGUUGGUGGUGCAUGGCCGUUCUUAGUUGGUGGAGUGAUUUGUCUGGUUAAUUCCGAUAACGAACGAGACCUUAACCUGCUAAAUAGCCCGGCCGACUUUGGUUGGUCGCUGGCUUCUUAGAGGGACUAUCGGCGUUUAGCCGAUGGAAGUUUGAGGCAAUAACAGGUCUGUGAUGCCCUUAGAUGUUCUGGGCCGCACGCGCGCUACACUGACCGAACCAGCGAGUUUAUCACCUUGGCCGGAAGGCCUGGGUAAUCUUGUGAAACUCGGUCGUGAUGGGGAUAGAGCAUUGCAAUUAUUGCUCUUCAACGAGGAAUACCUAGUAAGCGUGAGUCAUCAGCUCGCGUUGAAUUCGUCCCUGCCCUUUGUACACACCGCCCGUCGCUACUACCGAUUGAAUGGCUUAGUGAGGGCUCCGGAUUGGCUUCUGGGAGCCGGCAACGGCACCUAGUCGCUGAGAAGUUGGACGAACUUGGUCAUUUAGAGGAAGUAAAAGUCGUAACAAGGUUUCCGUAGGUGAACCUGCGGAAGGAUCAUUA
RNAcentral lists this ribosomal RNA (1217 nucleotides) under Sakaguchia lamellibrachiae. RNAcentral describes it as "SSU rRNA". It matches the Rfam family "Eukaryotic small subunit ribosomal RNA", at positions 592 to 1831 of the family's 1831-position model. The record is from RNAcentral. Lineage: Eukaryota; Fungi; Basidiomycota; Cystobasidiomycetes; Sakaguchiales; Sakaguchiaceae.